This 350-nucleotide ribosomal RNA is filed under the name uncultured Geodermatophilus sp. RNAcentral's name for it is "bacterial SSU rRNA". It matches the Rfam family "Bacterial small subunit ribosomal RNA", at positions 790 to 1139 of the family's 1533-position model. The record is from RNAcentral. Lineage: Bacteria; Bacillati; Actinomycetota; Actinomycetes; Geodermatophilales; Geodermatophilaceae.
GUAGUCCACGCCGUAAACGUUGGGCGCUAGGUGUGGGGGCCAUUCCACGGUCUCCGUGCCGCAGCUAACGCAUUAAGCGCCCCGCCUGGGGAGUACGGCCGCAAGGCUAAAACUCAAAGGAAUUGACGGGGGCCCGCACAAGCGGCGGAGCAUGUUGCUUAAUUCGAUGCAACGCGAAGAACCUUACCUAGGCUUGACAUGCACGGAAAUCUCGCAGAGAUGCGGGGUGCCUUUGGCGUCGUGCACAGGUGGUGCAUGGUUGUCGUCAGCUCGUGUCGUGAGAUGUUGGGUUAAGUCCCGCAACGAGCGCAACCCUCGUUCCAUGUUGCCAGCACGUGAUGGUGGGGACU